RNAcentral lists this microRNA precursor (112 nucleotides) under Canis lupus familiaris (dog). RNAcentral describes it as "mir-8834 microRNA precursor family". It matches the Rfam family "mir-8834 microRNA precursor family". The record is from Rfam by way of RNAcentral. Lineage: Eukaryota; Metazoa; Chordata; Mammalia; Carnivora; Canidae. RNAcentral also lists the same sequence under 1 other name.
AUGUGGAACAACCCCAGUGGUGGCGGCUAGCUCUAGAGCUCUGGAUUCAGCUCCCACAGUAACUAACUCCGGAGCUCUGCGUCUGCAGGGGCCUGGAUCCUCCGGGGGCGGG